GGGCCCGUAGCUCAGCCUGGUAGAGCGGCGGGCUUUUAACCCGUAGGCCUCGCGGCGGAAGUCCCGGGUUCAAAUCCCGGCGGGCCCGCCA
Molecule: transfer RNA, 91 nt
Filed under: Desulfurococcales archaeon
Lineage: Archaea; Thermoproteati; Thermoproteota; Thermoprotei; Desulfurococcales
Description: tRNA-Lys
Rfam family: tRNA
About the family: Transfer RNA (tRNA) molecules are approximately 80 nucleotides in length. Their secondary structure includes four short double-helical elements and three loops (D, anti-codon, and T loops).
Source: RNAcentral